UUUUUAUUAAAAUUUUCGAUGCACAUAUAAUCAAGGAUCAUUGGACUGAUGAAGACAUAAAUUUAAUACCAUCCUCGAGUAAAACUCUCAAACUUAAAGUUGGCAGUUUCUAAGAUGGAAAUUUAACGCAUUUGUUUUUGGAAAACAAGAAAAUAUAUGAUUCAAAAGUAAUAUUUGACGUUUCAGAGGACAAAUCAUUAUUAUUGUGAUACUGCAUGCAAAAUUUGUUGGGCAAAUUCCAAAGUUUUGUAAAAAAAAAAUAAAAAAAAAAAAAUAAAUUAAAACAUCAUUUAAAGGGAAACCGGUACUACAAUAUAUUACAUUUCCCCAACAUUAGGUUGGCCUUUUGUGUACCCAAGGCAGAUGAAGGAAGUCAACUUAGAAACGCCGUGAUUGGAUGCAAGAGUACAAUAUAUUUUUUUUACUGAUCUAUGAAUAUUAAACUGCAGUGUGUAUAUUUACAAUAAAAAUUUAAAAACCCAUUGAAGAUUUUCUAGAGAAUAUUCGAAAAGACUUCCAAAAUUUCAUAAAUUUGGUGUAAAAUGACGGCGGG
RNAcentral lists this long non-coding RNA (553 nucleotides) under Mytilus galloprovincialis (Mediterranean mussel). Lineage: Eukaryota; Metazoa; Mollusca; Bivalvia; Mytilida; Mytilidae. The record is from RNAcentral.